This 289-nucleotide ribosomal RNA is filed under the name uncultured eukaryote. RNAcentral's name for it is "partial 18S ribosomal RNA". It matches the Rfam family "Eukaryotic small subunit ribosomal RNA", at positions 1470 to 1796 of the family's 1831-position model. The record is from RNAcentral.
CCCUUAGAUGUCCUGGGCUGCACGCGCGCUACACUGACACAUUCAGCGAGUUUUUCCUUAUCCGGUAGGAUUGGGUACUCUUUUGAACGUGUGUCGUGAUGGGGAUAGAUUAUUGCAAUUAUUAAUCUUCAACGAGGAAUUCCUAGUAAGUGCAAGUCAUCAGCUUGCGUCGCUCCUACCGAUUGAAUGUUCCGGUGAAUAAUUCGGACUGCGGCAAUGGGGCUUGUGCCACUAUUGCUGUGGAAAGUCUAGUGAACCUUAACAUUUAGAGGAAGGAGAAGUCGUAACA